GUCCGCUGAGUGAGGGAGCAUGCUCCAUCCGAAGGAUCCAAGGCCCGGCUGAGCAAGAAAACUGACUUUCUGAUGGGGAAGCAAAGGGAAGCUGCAAGAGUGGUCAUGCGCCUGUCCCCAGCAGUGCUGGCACGUCGUUUCGGGUACCUGGAGCAGCCAGUAGAGAGUGCAGAACAGUUCCCGUGGUGCCAAAAAGCACAACAAUGAAGGAAAGCAAACCUCUCUCCCACACUGCAAGAACAAGAACUUCUGAGGGAAGCUUGACUGAGGACCUCAGAGAUGACCUUGGGAGCACAGCCUCCUUCUUUAUUAUUGGUGGCAGAACAGUUGCGAAGAAUUAGGAAGCAUCCAAGAAAAACUAAAGAGGACUUUAUGCAUGAGGUUAUGAUGCACUCUGCCGCCAAGAAAAAGGAAUUGAAGGAGCGGUGGGACAACGAGAAGAGGGAACGAAAGGAGAACGUGGCACACCAAAAAGAAGCCCGGGAGCAGCUCUUAACAGUUAUGGAGUGCCAAGUGGACACGCUCCAGCUCUUCAAACCGAGCAGCUCCAUGCCCGCCCUCCCCUGCAGCCGCUGUUGCAAAACUCUUUCCCAUGCGCCCGCCCACCCCCACCGCCAACACACUCUUAUCAACCUCCUGGUUCCACUCUCUACCCGCAGCAUUCCAGUCCUCCCUCCUCCCAGUUCAGCAGUGUGGACUCCCACUCUCCACUGCACUCAACACCCAUCCAUCUGCAGUUUGGCCCUGCUGAAUUACAGCACCCACUGCAUCGUGCUCCAAAGGAGAAGGUUGGGUAUGAUCCCUGGACAUACACAAAUCUGUAGCCGUCCCGGGACCCCUCCUCCUCUUGAGCUCUUCCAUUCCCCCAUUCCUUCCAUUCCCCCAUCCGCCUCCCUGG
Molecule: long non-coding RNA, 898 nt
Organism: Malaclemys terrapin pileata
Lineage: Eukaryota; Metazoa; Chordata; Testudines; Emydidae
Exons: 4
Source: RefSeq, a predicted model, not a curated record